This is a non-coding RNA of Oryctolagus cuniculus (rabbit), 6173 nucleotides long. NCBI's taxonomy places the organism in Eukaryota, Metazoa, Chordata, Mammalia, Lagomorpha, Leporidae. The record is from RefSeq and is a predicted model, not a curated record.
CACAGAGUGAAAAGGCAAUCUAUAGAAUGGAGGAAAAUAAUUGCAAAGCAUAUAUCUGAAAAGGAGUUAAUAUCCAGAAUAAACAGAGAACCAUAACUCAACAGAAAACAUGGUGCCAGUUUCCUUCUGCACCCAAAAGAUUAUCUGUAAAUGAUCAUCUAUUUGGAGACUUAAGAUCUAGAAUAAUUACAAGAUCCACCCAUCUGAGGAACUGCACUCAGCUGUGGGUCCCACACUUUAAACAGAUUUUACAGCAACUGGAGAUGUGUUCAGGAAGCCAGGAUAAAGAAGGAAUCCCAAAUGAGGAAGACUUGAAAAACCUGAAAACAGAAACUGUUAAAAAGAAAAUUGUAUCUUUAAGAAAACCUAAGCAAGAGCUAAGCAGCCCCUAAAUACUGUCUUGAAGGCAGAUCUAGAUACCAUCAGGCACCAGUCUCCUAGCCUCCCUCCCUAGCUCUCCCUUUUAAUAACACUAAAAUUGAUUCACUGGAUUGAGGGAGUGAUACAACAAACUCUGCAGGAUCCUAGUCACUAGGCUCAUGAAGUCAUUUGUCUCUCCAAUAAUGGCUGGUAUUGGCAUUAGGGGUUUUGUUUAGAGGAACUCCAGGUCCAGGGAAGACAGUAACUACCACCUGUGUGUAGCCCACAGACUGACUGAAGCCCAUUAGGCCAUCAUAAAAAUUCCCUGAAGAGUACAGAAUUGCUGACUAAUCAAAAGAAGGCCACGUGUAUCACUGGCCAACCAAGAGAUGGGGCACCAGCUGAAUAUACACAACUCAGCCCCAACUUCAAUCUCUAUGAAUCUUCAUCCUUAACCCUUAGGGAAACCUGGACAUUAAGCAAUAGCUGGCAGGCUCCUUGCUCUGCAUUUUGCAAAUGGAGACCUAUUUUCUUCCACCAACCUGAUGUCACUAGUUGGCUUUCUGUAAUCAAGCAAGCAGACCCAGGCUUGGGGGUUCUGUAGCAACUUCUCCAACUGGUUUAGGGGAUUGUUCUGCAGCAGUGUCUUUAAAUAUCUAAAGCACUGUCAGGAAAACCAGGAAUUCGACUUGUUCUAUAUAACCCAAGAUGAGACAGUGAGUAGAAGUUGUAGCAAAAUCAUUUGUUCAUUAUAUAUAUGGAAAACCUUUCCAAUUUGCAGAACUGCCCAAAGAUAGAGCCAACUGUUCAUGGGAAGGAAUGAGGGUCACAUCUUCACAAAACAUCAAGCAUGGCCACAUGGUCAAACAGCCAGGAGAACUUUAGAAAUAUGUCAAGAGGGCCAGUUCAAGUCCCGGCUGCCCCACUUCCAAUCCACAUCCAUGCUAAUGUGCCUGAGAAUGAAGUGGAAGAUGGUCCAAGUAGUUGGGCCCUUGCACUCAUGAGGGAGACCUGGAAAAAGUUCCUGGCUCCUGGCUUCAGUCUUCCAUCCACUGGUUCAUUUUCUAAGUGGCCUCAAUGGCCAGGGCUGAGUCAGGCUGAAGCCAGGGGCCAGGAGCUUCAUCGGGUCCUCCCAUGUGGUUGACAGGGCCCAAGUACUUGGGCCAUCCUCUGCUGCUUUGCCCAGGCCAUUAGGAGGGAGCUGGAUUGGAAGUGGAACUGUUAGGCAGUUGGAAAUUGCCCUGUGUGUAAGAGGGGCCUAAGGGAAACAAAGCAUCAGCAGAAGCUUGGAAGCAGCCCCGUAUUUUACACUGAUAAUUUCAUUAUAUAAUAUAUAAUAUAAUUUCAUUAUAUAAUAUAUAAUAUAAUUUCAUUAUACCCUGAUAAUUUCAUAUAUGGUCUCAGCAUUCCCCCCAAGGAAAGCUCCCCAGGAGAAUCCACUCUGCUCAGCACCAAAUGGGUUUCCUGGCCUGGUGACAAUAAAACUUGGAGCAAUAAAACCUUCGCAGCUUCCCCCAAGGAAGGCACCCUAAGGGAAGCUCCUCUGUGCCAGGUGGACUACCCAGUCUGGAGUAGUGAAACCUCGGGAGGAAUUUCACCUCAUUCAUGCUCAGCAAACUCUUUGUACUGGAGAAGAAAGGGGAGGGGAAGGAGAAAAGGUAAGAAGAACUGGACCCCAUUCCCCUAAAAGCACCUGUCUGAAUACAACUGCACACUCAGUUCUCAGCUCUUUCCUGAGCCACCUACCUGGCCUGUCAGGUGUAUUCUCUCCAUGAAACCUUGUAACCUUGCUUUCCCCAGCCUGAAUGACUGGGCAGUCUCUCAGAUUCUGUCUGGAGAGGUACCCAUCUAUUCUGAUGGAUACCAUACCCUGUUAAACCUUGCUACCUGGGGCCAGCGCUGUGGCAUAGCAGGUAAAGCCACCGCCUGCAGUGCCGGCAUCUCAUAUGGGCACCGGUUAGAAUCCCCUCUGCUCUGCUUCUGAUCCAGCUCUCUGCUAUGGCCUGGGAGAGCAGUAGAAGAUGGCCCAAGUCCUGGGGCCCCUGCACCCGUGUGGGAGACCCAGAAGAAGCUCCUGGCUCCUGGCUUGGAAUCGGUGCAGUUCCAGCUAUUGCAGCCAACUGGGGAGUGAACCAGUGGAUAGAGGACCCCUCUCUCUCUCUCUCUCCCUCUCUCUCUGCUUCUCCUCUCUCUGUGUAAAACUCUGACUUUCAAAUAAAUAAAUAAAUAUUUAUUUAAAAAAAAAAAAACUUGCUACCUUCCUUACCAUUUUCUCUGUCUCAUGUCUGAAUUCUUUCUUGUGCAAAGACAGGAACCUAUUCCACUCAUCUCCACUAACAGAGCAGCCUGGACAAAAACUGGCACCUGUAUGGGAUGCCCGUGUCACAAGCAGUGAUCUAACCUGCUACACCACAACACCUUCCCCUGCUUCAGAUAUUAGUUAUAACAGGGGUGAACAUUUUUAUGAAGCUUCUUAUUAUGAGCAGGAUAUCAUGCAUCAGAACCAAUUAUCUUUGCAGGUGUAAUGACUGGGAACACAUUAAAUCAAUGUGGGCUAACUGUAGUACAUGUUAGAAAUUUGAUGAAAAGCUAGGAUGAUUUGGCUUGGGAUAAGAGCCCUAAUGAAUUCAAGCUGCUACCUCUAAUAUGCUUUUGAUGUAGACUUUAUCAGGUCUAGUACCGCUUCCUUAGCUUGGAUUUCCUCUGUGAAGAUGAACUGAUUAAGCUAAAAGAGUGACACAAGGGUAAAACCAGAGUUGAAACCCUGGGUCAUAAAGAAUAGAUUCACUCCAAGGCUGGUGCUGUGGCCCUGGCCUGAAGCACCGGCAUUCCAUAUGGGCACCGGUUCUAGUCCCGGCUGCUUCUCUUCCGAUCCAGCUCUCUGCUAUGGCCUGGGAAAGCAGUAGAAGAUGGCCCAAGCCCUUGGGCCCCUGCACCCACAUGGGAGACCUGGAAGAAGCUCCUGGCUCCAGAUCGGCCUAGCUCCAGCCGUGCGGCCAUUUGGGGAGUGAACCACCCGACUGAAGACUUUCUCUCUGUCUCUCCCUCUCACUGUCUGUCUGUAACUCUACCCCUCAAAUAAACAAAUAAAAUCAGAAAGAAAGAAAGAAAGAAAGAAAGAAAGAAAGAAAGAAAGAAAGAAAGAAAGAAAGAAAGAAAGAAAGAAAGAUUUCAAAGCUACCCUCAGUUCAGAGAGCUUUGCAGGAUCUCACAGGUGAUGAUCAAAGUAAUAAACAAUUUACCCAUAGAUAGACUGGAACCCACCUUUGUCAUUCCAAAAGAAAUGCAUUGACCACCCCCAACACUGACCCAUCAAAAGAAGACCACAUGCAUUGUGGGCCAACCAGAGGCUCACAAAUGAGCUGAUCACAUCACUCAAUUCCCACUUCAAACUCUAAGAUUCACUGCCUCUACUCACUAGGGAGCCUGAGAAUUUUGUAACAGCUACUUGGCCCCUUGCUCUGUGCUUCGCAAUAAACACCUCCUUUUGUUCCACCAACCCAGUGUCAGUGAUUGGCUUGCUGCACACUGGGCAAGCAGAUCCAGUUUUGGGGGUUGUAUAGCAGUUCCUCCAAGCAGUUUUGGGGGUGCCCUAUAACACUAGUAGGCAGAAAACAGGUGUUUAUUAAGGAAGUACAAUCAAGAGUGUGUUUCUUUGUGUUAACUGCAGAUCAGCUAGCAAGAAAUUCAGAAGAUAGUGAGCUUAGCAUUACAAAUAGUGCACUUUCUCUGAGGUGGGGACUGUACUACUGGAGUGUUACAUGACCCAAAAUACUAAUGCCAUCAACAUCCAACCAGGGGUACUCAACAGGAGAUGCAGUUAAGAGGGUUUCAUGGGUUUGACCAAGAAAUAAAAUUCAGGGGCCAAUGCUGGGGUAUAGCUGGUUAAGUUGCUGCCUGCAAUGCCAGUAUUCCAUAUGGGUGCCAGUUCUCGAACUGGCUGCUCCACUUCUGAUCCAGCUUCCUGCUAAUGUGCCUGGGAAAGCAGGGGAGGAUGGCCCAAGUGCUUUGGCCCCUGCACUCACAUGGGAGACCCCGAAGAAGCUCCAGACUGCUGACUUCAGCCUGGCCCAGCUCCAGCUGCUGUGGCCAUUUCGGGAGUGAACCAGCAGAUGGAAGAUCUCUCUCCUUUCUCUCUGUCUCUAAGUCUGCCUUUCAAAUAAAUAAAUCCAUCUUUUAAAAAAAGAAAUUCAAUUCAGUAGUGCAUUCUCUUAACCAGAGUCAGAGAGACAAGCUCUGACACGCAUAAUUAAUUGAAAUACAAAUUGAUACUAUCUCUUUGAAGAAAAUUUGGUGAUAUCUUUUAAUUAAAAUACAUAAAAAGAUAUAUCCUUUAAUUAAAGUUAAUAGAAACCAUGAUCCUGCAAUUCUACUUUAAGAAGUUUAUCCUACAAGUAUACUCAGGUAUGUGCAUAAAGAUAUAGGAAUGAAGAUAUUCAUGGCACAUAAUUUAAAACAGUAACAAUUUACAAAUAAUCUAACAAUCCAUCAAUGGCUCUGGCAGAGGUCAUCUCUCCAGGAAAUGAUUUCCAAACCUUCACACUGGGCUUAGUGCCUCUCCUCUUGCUAUCUGGUCAGAAGACAGGGACACAGAACGAGCCAGAAGAACUAUGACACCACACCCUUCCACCCUAGGGUUGCCUCUGAAACUCCUCCCACAGCUGGCCAAUCCGAAAUUACUACUGUAGCAAAACCGCUGCCCAGAACUGGUGCCAGCUGGAAACAUCCAAUAUGCUGAUUGUGUGCCCACAAUGCCUAUAGCACAUUGUAAUAGCAUUAUAGGAUUGCCAUGGCAAACACUCUUACUCCCAUCAUGCACCUCCUGCCACAACACUUUCAAGACUUCCUAAAAAGGCCAGAAGAUGGGCAGUCACCAAACUUCCAGAAAUCUACAUGGUUUUCUGGAAAGUACUCCCUCCUUGUGCCUCCACAUCACACAAAGGGGAUGAACCCUCAUCUCGUGAGUUGCAAUAGAGAAAAGGGAACUCUUAAAAACUACUGGUGGAGCAGAAAGAACGGGCCAUCAAAGAAGGAGGUGCCUUUCUCUCAAGGGAGGAGAGAACUUCCACUUUGAUUAUGGCCUUGUCUAAAUAAGGCCGGAGUUUGUGAACUCAAGAGGCUUCCAUAGCCUUGGCAGCUCGUGACAAGAGACUCGGGUGAUUACUGACGUCAUAAAUAAGAGUCUCGGGCCGGCGCCGCGGCUCACUAGGCUAAUCCUCCGCCUAGCGGCGCUGGCACACCGGGUUCUAGUCCCGGUUGGGGCACCGGAUUCUGUCCCGGUUGCCCCUCUUCCAGGCCAGCCCUCUGCUGUGGCCAGGGAGUGCAGUGGAGGAUGGCCCAGGUGCUUGGGCCCUGCACCCCAUGGGAGACCAGGAAAAGCACCUGGCUCCUGGCUCCUGCCAUCGGAUCAGCGCGGUGCACCGGCCGCAGCGCGCCAGCCGCGGCGGCCAUUGGAGGGUGAACCAACGGCAAAGGAAGACCUUUCUCUCUGUCUCUCUCUCUCACUGUCCACUCUGCCUGUCAAAAAAAUAAAAAUAAAAAAAAAAUUAAAAAAAAAUAAAUAAAUAAAUAAGAGUCUCAAUUGUUAAAUCAACACCGGGAGUCACUGUGCACCUACUCCCCAUGUAGCAUCUCUGACUUUAAUGUGUUGUACUAUGCGAAUUAAUGGUAAAACUAGUACUCAAACAGUACUUUGUGUAUCUGUAAACUGUUGAAAUCUUUACUUAGUAUAUACUAAGUUAAUCUUCUGUAUAUAAAGAUAAUUGGAAAUGAAUCUUUUUAAAUUAUUUAUUGAUGAUAUUCACAUCUUUUUU